GAUGAACGCUGGCGGCGUGCCUAAUACAUGCAAGUCGAGCGAACAGACGAGGAGCUUGCUCCUCUGACGUUAGCGGCGGACGGGUGAGUAACACGUGGAUAACCUACCUAUAAGACUGGGAUAACUUCGGGAAACCGGAGCUAAUACCGGAUAAUAUAUUGAACCGCAUGGUUCAAUAGUGAAAGACGGUUUUGCUGUCACUUAUAGAUGGAUCCGCGCCGCAUUAGCUAGUUGGUAAGGUAACGGCUUACCAAGGCAACGAUGCGUAGCCGACCUGAGAGGGGGGACCGCCACCCUGGAACUUGGGCCCCGUCCAGGCUCCUAAGGGAGGCAAGAGGUAGGAAUCCUCCGGAAAGGGGGGAAGGCUGACCGAAGAAACGCGGGUUGAUUGAUGAAGGCCUUCGGAUCGUAAACCCCUGUUAUAGGGAAAGAAAAAAUGUGUAAGUACCUAUGACCGCUUGACGGGUACCUAACAAGAAGGCCCGGCUAACUUCCGU
Molecule: ribosomal RNA, 497 nt
Filed under: uncultured bacterium
Lineage: Bacteria
Description: partial 16S ribosomal RNA
Rfam family: Bacterial small subunit ribosomal RNA
Source: RNAcentral